RNAcentral lists this long non-coding RNA (386 nucleotides) under Mytilus galloprovincialis (Mediterranean mussel). The record is from RNAcentral. Lineage: Eukaryota; Metazoa; Mollusca; Bivalvia; Mytilida; Mytilidae.
AAUACAGUCCUUGGAUGGUGUAAACUUCCCACUAACACCAUACACCAUUACACCAUACACGAUACCCCAUUACACCAUACACCUUGUACCAUUACACCAUACACGUUACACCUUUGCACCAUACACCUUACGCUUUACACCAUACACCAUUCCCCAUUCUAUCUACAGGAUCCGAAAUUACCCAUAAUGCAAUUAAAUUUUAAAUAUUAAGAUUUUUAUUAUGUUUAUGAUUACAAUCCGAAAAAAUGAAAUAAGAAAAAAAUCGUUUGCAACCACUGAAAGGUCGUACACUAUCAUUCACACCAUUCCCGAUCGCACGUUACACAAUCACACCAUUCCUCAUACAUCAUUACACCAUUCCCCUUACACCAUACACCAUAGCACCA